UGUUUUGUUGGAAGCCCAUAUUAGAUGUGCUUUAGCCUUGUGUGUUUGUAAUUGGGGGCUUUGUCCAGCAACAAGCCACCCGAUCACACCAUAGCAGCAAGAAGCCAACGACAUCCUGUGGCUCACACUGACAGUGUUAAUGGAGAGCACAGCGCCACAGCUAUUAGGACCGGACCGUUUAUAAAUUUAACCAAUGGAGCCCUGGGUUGACGGUUCGAGUGAGGCAAAGGUAUCAUGCUUGUCUACCUUGGGUAGAGGCGGCAUUCUUGUUUUUUCGUGGCAUAGCCACAGUAUUUACCCUACCUGCAACAGUUGAUAAAUACUGUAGAUAUAUGCAUGCAUGGCUUCAUUGAAGCUUGGCCUCCAUUGUAGGAAUAUAUGCAUGCAUGGCUUCAUUAUUGAAGCUUGGACUCCAUUGUAGGAAUAUAUUCACUCUGUUCGGCUGGCUUGUCAGCCAACCAGCCAGCAGUGUUUUUCUCUCACACCAAAUCAACACCAGCCAUCAGCUACCAGCCAGCCAGCAAUAUUUUUCUCUCACAACAAAUUAGCACCAGCCACAGCCAGCCGAACAGAGUGAUUGUUUCGACCGACCAUAAGAAGAAUUUUUCCCUGCUGUGAAAUGAAUCUCUUUAUAUUCCUGUUUUUUUAAAUUGCCAUAUACUGACCAAAAAAGGGACAGUAGAUGGUCUUGCUGUGAAAGCACAGGUCUUCCAUUGCGUACUUCCUUUCAGUUGUUGGCUUACUAUAUCUCUGGACACUUUAGCAUAAGACAAUGUACUACGUCCUAUCUACCUUAACCCUUGAUCAAUUGAGAUGUCUUUAUUCUGGACAUAUAUGUAUAUUAUCAUUCACUGUUGCAUACUUACUGCAGCCACAAGUUCUGAAACACAGGUGACAUAAAACCUCCGUGCAAAAUGAUGGGACAAGGAUUCUGCCAAAGAGCCCCUCUUUGUCAGGAAUCAGCAAUGCGCGGCCUGCAACAUAAACGUAAAGCUACCCUUCAGGGUCAUCCAAGUUCAGAGACCUCCAAUGUCAAACAGCUAAGACAAGCAUCCGCCUUUUUAUUGCCUCAUGGAGAAUCAGAGUCAACAUCACACAUGCCACACCGCGAAGUAGUGCUUAGGUAUCAUCACAUGUCGCUACCUACAUGAUAAUGCACAUAACUCGGCUGCUGCUCAACCUUCUUACGGUAUUCAUGUUGUUGCCAUCCGGCCCUUUUUGACAACCCUACAAGCGCCAUCGUUGACUCCAAGGUAAAUCAUCAUUGUUUGAUGUCUGUUCUAUUAUGUUGCAUGUUACUAUCUAUAUUCCACAUUCAUUGUUACUACAGUUCCAUAUAUACUGUAUUACACAUAAACCAUGGGUCUAUGUUUACAUAGCUUAUUCCCUCGCAAAGUCUCAUUGUUAUUAGUCCAGUUUCAUAUAUACUGUAUUAUAUAAAUGUUUAAUUUUCUUUUCUCAUGAGAAGUAGUAAUCUGAAGUAUCUCUUCGACUUAAUUCUCACAACAAUUAUUUCCUGCACUGCUCUGCAAUUAACAUAUUAAUUUACCUUGCUAAUUAUGUUCUCCACUAUGACAUGCAUCUAGCAAACUGAUAUUUGCUCUGCUCUGUGACUUACAUAUUCAUUUACAAUGCUAAUUUGGCUCUCUAACUAGCAUAUUAAUUUACCUGUGCCAUCCUGUUGGGACAAGGGGGCAUACAACACUUAAAGUUGGACAAGUUACCGGUCAGACAAAAAAUCGAGGGAGAUGCUGUAAUUCUUGACAGACUAAUCUGCUCUCUUAAUCUUUCUCUAAGUUCCUAAUCCUUAUUUGCAUGGAAUUAUACUGUCAGCAUCAACCUUCUCUGGUGACUCUUUCCUAGUUGAUCUGCUUCUCGGGACGAAAUUCUUUUAAGGGGAGGGCUGUAACACCCAGGGUGUUAAUUUUGUGCAUUAGUCUCUAAUCAUCACUUAAGCAUGGUCAUUAGUGUUAAUCAAGCUGGCUUUGUUUAAUUCAGUCUUGGCCGAGCUUUAUGUGCGUUUUU
Panicum virgatum (switchgrass) is the source of this 2025-nucleotide long non-coding RNA. RefSeq lists it as uncharacterized. The transcript has 3 exons. The record is from RefSeq and is a predicted model, not a curated record. Lineage: Eukaryota; Viridiplantae; Streptophyta; Magnoliopsida; Poales; Poaceae.